This 606-nucleotide ribosomal RNA is filed under the name Copris aeneus. RNAcentral describes it as "eukaryotic LSU rRNA". It matches the Rfam family "Eukaryotic large subunit ribosomal RNA", at positions 688 to 1251 of the family's 3401-position model. The record is from RNAcentral. Lineage: Eukaryota; Metazoa; Arthropoda; Insecta; Coleoptera; Scarabaeidae.
AAGUCAUUGGGACUCGAUUAAACCUAAAGGCGCAAUGAAAGUAAAGGUCCGCCUAGCGCGGACCGAGGGAGGACGGGCUCGUCUACGGGCGGGCCCCGCACUCCCGGGGCGUCUCGUCCUCAUCGCGAGGAGAGGCGCACCCAGAGCGUACACGCUGGGACCCGAAAGAUGGUGAACUAUGCCUGGUCAGGACGAAGUCAGGGGAAACCCUGAUGGAGGUCCGUAGCGAUUCUGACGUGCAAAUCGAUCGUCGGAACUGGGUAUAGGGGCGAAAGACUAAUCGAACCUUCUAGUAGCUGGUUCCCUCCGAAGUUUCCCUCAGGAUAGCUGGCGCUCGCCUUUGCGAGUCUCAUUCGGUAAAGCGAAUGAUUAGAGGCAUUGGGGUCGAAACGGCCUCAACCUAUUCUCAAACUUUAAAUGGGUGAGAUCUCCGGCUUGCUUGAAGCGUGAAGCCGCGAGAUAUCGGAUCACAGAGUGCCAAGUGGGCCACUUUUGGUAAGCAGAACUGGCGCUGUGGGAUGAACCAAACGCCGAGUUAAAGCGCCAAAAUCGACGCUUAUGGGAUACCAUGAAAGGCGUUGGUAACUUAAGACAGCAGGACGGUGG